UACGUAGGGUGCAAGCGUUGUCCGGAAUUAUUGGGCGUAAAGGGCUCGUAGGCGGUCUGUCACGUCGGGAGUGAAAACUUGGGGCUUAACCCCGAGCCUGCGGUCGAUACGGGCAGACUUGAGUUCGGCAGGGGAGACUGGAAUUCCUGGUGUAGCGGUGAAAUGCGUAGAUAUCGUAAGGAAGACCAGUGGCGAAGGCGGGUCUCUGGACAGUUCCUGACGCUGAGGCACGAAGGCCAGGGGAGCAAACGGG
This 253-nucleotide ribosomal RNA is filed under the name uncultured bacterium. Its description in RNAcentral is "partial 16S ribosomal RNA". It matches the Rfam family "Bacterial small subunit ribosomal RNA", at positions 524 to 776 of the family's 1533-position model. The record is from RNAcentral.